RNAcentral lists this ribosomal RNA (481 nucleotides) under uncultured bacterium. RNAcentral's name for it is "partial 16S ribosomal RNA". It matches the Rfam family "Bacterial small subunit ribosomal RNA", at positions 28 to 507 of the family's 1533-position model. The record is from RNAcentral.
GAUGAACGCUGGCGGCGUGCUUAACACAUGCGAGUCGAACGAAGCAUUUGCGACAGAUUUUUUCGGAAUGAAGUUGCUUAUGACUGAGUGGCGGACGGGUGAGUAACGCGUGGGUAACCUGCCUUGUACUGGGGGAUAGCAGCUGGAAACGGCUGGUAAUACCGCAUAGGCGCACAAUGUUGCAUGACAUGGUGUGAAAAACUCCGGUGGUAUAAGAUGGACCCGCGUCUGAUUAGCUAGUUGGUGAGAUAACAGCCCACCAAGGCGACGAUCAGUAGCCGACCUGAGAGGGUGACCGGCCACAUUGGGACUGAGACACGGCCCAGACUCCUACGGGAGGCAGCAGUGGGGAAUAUUGCACAAUGGAGGAAACUCUGAUGCAGCGACGCCGCGUGAGUGAAGAAGUAAUUCGUUAUGUAAAGCUCUAUCAGCAGGGAAGAUAGUGACGGUACCUGACUAAGAAGCUCCGGCUAAAUACGUG